UACGAGGGGGGCGAGCGUUGUUCGGAAUUAUUGGGCGUAAAGGGUGCGUAGGCGGUUUUGUAAGUCUUAUGUGAAAUCUAUGGGCUCAACUCAUAGACUGCAUGAGAAACUGCAGGGCUUGAGUAUGGGAGAGGUGAGUGGAAUUCCUGGUGUAGCGGUGAAAUGCGUAGAUAUCAGGAGGAACACCGGUGGCGAAGGCGGGUCUCUGGGCCGAUACUGACGCUGAGGAGCGAAAGCAUGGGUAGCGAACAGG
RNAcentral lists this ribosomal RNA (253 nucleotides) under uncultured bacterium. RNAcentral's name for it is "partial 16S ribosomal RNA". It matches the Rfam family "Bacterial small subunit ribosomal RNA", at positions 524 to 776 of the family's 1533-position model. The record is from RNAcentral.